This 425-nucleotide ribosomal RNA is filed under the name uncultured bacterium. RNAcentral describes it as "partial 16S ribosomal RNA". It matches the Rfam family "Bacterial small subunit ribosomal RNA", at positions 354 to 796 of the family's 1533-position model. The record is from RNAcentral.
GUGGGGAAUAUUGGACAAUGGGCGAAAGCCUGAUCCAGCAAUGCCGCGUGAGUGAAGAAGGCCUUCGGGUUGUAAAGCUCUUUUACCCGGGAAGAUAAUGACUGUACCGGGAGAAUAAGCCCCGGCUAACUCCGUGCCAGCAGCCGCGGUAAUACGGAGGGGGCUAGCGUUGUUCGGAAUUACUGGGCGUAAAGCGCACGUAGGCGGUCUUUUAAGUCAGAGGUGAAAGCCCGGGGCUCAACUCCGGAAUUGCCUUUGAAACUGGAAGACUUGAACACGGGAGAGGUGAGUGGAAUUCCGAGUGUAGAGGUGAAAUUCGUAGAUAUUCGGAGGAACACCAGUGGCGAAGGCGGCUCACUGGACCGUUGUUGACGCUGAGGUGCGAAAGCGUGGGGAGCAAACAGGAUUAGAUACCCCAGUAGUCC